CUCUCGGCAAUGGAUAUCUCGGCUCUUGCAUCGAUGAAGAACGUAGUGAAAUGCGAUACUUGGUGUGAAUUGCAGAAUCUCGUGAACCAUUGAGUCUUUGAACGCAAGUUGUGCCCGAGGCCUUGUGGCCGAGGGCACGCCUGCUUGGGGGUCAUGGC
This 158-nucleotide ribosomal RNA is filed under the name Cornukaempferia longipetiolata. Its description in RNAcentral is "5.8S ribosomal RNA". It matches the Rfam family "5.8S ribosomal RNA". Rfam says of the family: 5.8S ribosomal RNA (5.8S rRNA) is a component of the large subunit of the eukaryotic ribosome. The record is from RNAcentral. Lineage: Eukaryota; Viridiplantae; Streptophyta; Magnoliopsida; Zingiberales; Zingiberaceae.